GCGCGAAAACUUUGCAAUACACGAAAGUGUGACAGGGUCAUCCCGAGUGCCGACCGCUGAGGUUGGCUUUUACCCAGUUUAGAAAGCUGGGGGAAUAAGGAGAGGGCAAGUCUGGUGUCAGCCGCCGCGGUAAUACCAGCUCUCCGAGUGGUGUGGACGUUUAUUGGGCCUAAAGCAUCCGUAGCUGGCUGAACAAGUCCCCUGUUAAACCCACCGAUUUAAUCGUUGGUCUGCGGGGGAUACUGCUCGGCUAGGGGACGAGAGAGGCAGGCGGUAUUCUCGGGGUAGGGGUGAAAUCCUAUAAUCCCGGGAAGACCACCAGUGGCGAAGGCUGCCUGCUAGAGCGCGCCCGACGGUGAGGGAUGAAAGCUGGGGGAGCGAACCGGAUUAGAUACCCGGGUAGUCCCAGCUGUAAACGAUGCAGACUAGGUGUUUGGACGGCCACGUGCCGUUCUAGUGCCGCAGGGAAGCUGUUAAGUCUGCCGCCUGGGGAGUACGAUCGCAAGAUUGAAACUUAAAGGAAUUGGCGGGGGAGCAC
RNAcentral lists this ribosomal RNA (538 nucleotides) under uncultured archaeon. RNAcentral describes it as "bacterial SSU rRNA". It matches the Rfam family "Archaeal small subunit ribosomal RNA", at positions 339 to 879 of the family's 1478-position model. The record is from RNAcentral.